Molecule: RNA transcript, 2002 nt
Organism: Cicer arietinum (chickpea)
Lineage: Eukaryota; Viridiplantae; Streptophyta; Magnoliopsida; Fabales; Fabaceae
Gene name: glucan endo-1,3-beta-glucosidase 7-like
Source: RefSeq, a predicted model, not a curated record
CCAUUUCCUCCUUUUGGUCUAAGUGCAGUUUCAAAGUCCCAACAUUCAAUAUGGCAAUCUUGGUUUCUUGCUCCUCAUUUCUUCUACACUUCCUGUCCCUCUUUCUUGCAUUCAACCUUGCAAAUUCUGAACCAUUCCUCGGCGUGAACUAUGGACAAGUCGCCGACAAUCUUCCACCACCGUCAGCCACCGCGAAACUACUACAAUCAACUUCAAUAGAAAAAGUCCGAUUAUACGGAACCGAUCCAGCCAUAAUCAAAGCACUAGCCAACACCGGAAUCGGAAUCGUAAUCGGAGCUGCAAACGGCGACAUUCCAUCACUCGCAUCCGAUCCAAAUUUCGCAAAAACAUGGAUAAACUCCAACGUUAUUCCCUAUUAUCCCGCCAGCAACAUCAUCCUGAUAACCGUCGGAAACGAAGUCAUAACUUCAAACGACACGAAUCUCGUGAACCAGAUGUUGCCGGCGAUACAGAACGUGCAAAACGCACUUGAUUCCGUUUCUCUAAGUGGAAAAAUUAAGGUCUCAACGGUUCAUUCUAUGGCGGUUUUAAAGGAUUCCGAACCUCCUUCUGCUGGAAGAUUUCAUCCUGAAUAUAGUGUCGUUUUGCAGAGUUUGUUGUCGUUUAAUAAGGAUACUGGUUCUCCUUUUGCGAUUAACCCUUACCCUUACUUUGCUUACAAAAGUGACCCUGGAAGAGCUGAUAAUUUGGCUUUUUGCCUUUUUCAACCUAACUCGGGCCGAGUUGACUCAAACACUAAACUCAAUUACAUGAAUAUGUUUGAUGCUCAGGUGGAUGCUGUUCGAUCUGCGUUAGAUUCUAUGGGUUUUAAGGACAUUGAGAUUGUGGUUGCGGAGACGGGGUGGCCCUACAAAGGAGACAACGAUGAGGCUGGACCGAGUCUUGAGAAUGCGAAGGCUUACAACGGUAAUUUGAUUUCGCACCUCCGAUCCAAGGUCGGGACCCCAUUGAUGCCCGGGAAAUCCGUGGACACAUACAUUUUUGCCUUGUAUGAUGAGGACUUGAAGCCUGGAGCUGCUUCUGAGAGAGCCUUUGGCCUUUACAACCCUGAUCAAUCCAUGAUCUACGACGUCGGCCUCUCUAAGCAGCAGAGUACCAGUCCUACUCCUACUACUAGCCCCAUGGUGGCCCCAACUCCGGAAGUAUCGAAAUCUCCAGUGAUUCCAGCACCAACAGGCCCAAGUGGUACACCAAAAGGCCAUAGUCCUACACCAAAUAAAGCGGAAUACGAAGCCAGCAUUUUGCAAUCAUUAAUAAUGCUCGCACUUUUCAUCUUAAUGUUGUUCUAGUAGUAUUUGACAUUAUGUAUUUCUUAAUUUGAUUGAAGAUUAAUCCAAAUGUGUCAAAAUCUCCUACGAAUUCGACGCCGAAAGUUUCAAGUCCAACAAAACCGAAUAAUAGUAAUAUAGCAUGGUGUGUGCCUAAACCAGGAGUAACUGAUGCACAACUUCAGGCAAAUUUGGAUUAUGCUUGUGGGCAGGGGAUUGAUUGUAGCUUAAUCCAACCGGGAGGAGCUUGUUUCGAACCUAACACAUUAGCGAACCAUGCUGCAUAUGCCAUGAAUCUCUUCUAUCACACUGUUGGGCAAAAUCCAUUAACUUGUGAUUUCUCACAAACAGCCACACUAACAACAAAUAACCCAAGCUAUAAUAGUUGCAUUUACGCCGGAGGAAAUGUCUAACCUAAAAAACAACAAAGUAGAUAAAGGAUGGUGCUUUUUGUUGUUUAAACUAUUGUUCUUAAUCGUUAAGAAAUGUUCUGAUUUUGAGAGUGCUCUUAAAUAGAAGAGUGGUGCAUGUAUGGUGGAGGAUCUUCCUCUAUUACAACUGUUAACUUUAUAAUAUCUUUGUUAGAAUCAAGUUGUUGUAUUGUUGACGUAUGGUGUGUGUUUGUCGUGAAGUGUUGAGUCAUUAUCGGAAAUCCUAGAGUCCGUGUUAAUUUACAGGCUCAAAUAAAUUGAAGUUUUUUUCUUCUUCUUAAA